AGAUUGAACGCUGGCGGCAUGCCUUACACAUGCAAGUCGAACGGCAGCACGGGAGCAAUCCUGGUGGCGAGUGGCGAACGGGUGAGUAAUACAUCGGAACGUGCCCAAUCGUGGGGGAUAACGCAGCGAAAGCCGUGCUAAUACCGCAUAAGAUCUACGGAUGAAAGCAGGGGAUCGCAAGACCUUGCGCGAAUGGAGCGGCCGAUGGCAGAUUAGGUAGUUGGUGAGGUAAAGGCUCACCAAGCCUUCGAUCUGUGGCUGGUCUGAGAGGACGACCAGCCACACUGGGACUGAGACACGGCCCAGACUCCUACGGGAGGCAGCAGUGGGGAAUUUUGGACAAUGGGCGAAAGCCUGAUCCAGCCAUGCCGCGUGCAGGAUGAAGGCCUUCGGUUGUAAACUGCUUUGUACGGAACGAAAGUCUCUUUACUUAAUAAAGAGGAGUCAUAGACGGUACGUAAGAAUAAGACACCGGACUAACUACGUAGACCG
This 492-nucleotide ribosomal RNA is filed under the name uncultured soil bacterium. Its description in RNAcentral is "bacterial SSU rRNA". It matches the Rfam family "Bacterial small subunit ribosomal RNA", at positions 26 to 511 of the family's 1533-position model. The record is from RNAcentral.